Molecule: ribosomal RNA, 449 nt
Filed under: uncultured bacterium
Lineage: Bacteria
Description: partial 16S ribosomal RNA
Rfam family: Bacterial small subunit ribosomal RNA
Source: RNAcentral
AACGAACGCUGGCGGCAGGCCUAACACAUGCAAGUCGAACGAAGCCUUCGGGCUUAGUGGCGGACGGGUGAGUAACACGUGGGAACGUACCUUUUGGUUCGGAAUAACGCAGAGAAAUUUGCGCUAAUACCGAAUGAGCCCUUCGGGGGAAAGAUUUAUCGCCGAAAGAUCGGCCCGCGUUGGAUUAGGUAGUUGGUGUGGUAAAGGCGCACCAAGCCUACGAUCCAUAGCUGGUCUGAGAGGAUGAUCAGCCACACUGGGACUGAGACACGGCCCAGACUCCUACGGGAGGCAGCAGUGGGGAAUCUUGCGCAAUGGGCGAAAGCCUGACGCAGCCAUGCCGCGUGAAUGAUGAAGGUCUUAGGAUUGUAAAAUUCUUUUACCAGGGACGAUAAUGACGGUACCUGGAGAAAAAGCCCCGGCUAACUUCGUGCCAGCCGCCGCAGUAA